UACAUAGGUGGCAAGCGUUGUUCGGAAUUACUGGGCGUAAAGGGCGCGUAGGCGGCCUACUAAGUCAGACGUGAAAUCCCCCGGCUUAACCUGGGAACUGCGUCUGAUACUGGAAGGCUUGAGGAUGGGAGAGGGAUGUAGAAUUCCAGGUGUAGCGGUGAAAUGCGUAGAUAUCUGGAGGAAUACCGGUGGCGAAGGCGGCAUCCUGGACCAUUACUGACGCUGAGGCGCGAAAGCUAGGGGAGCAAACGGG
RNAcentral lists this ribosomal RNA (253 nucleotides) under uncultured bacterium. Its description in RNAcentral is "partial 16S ribosomal RNA". It matches the Rfam family "Bacterial small subunit ribosomal RNA", at positions 524 to 776 of the family's 1533-position model. The record is from RNAcentral.